Long non-coding RNA from Pipistrellus kuhlii (Kuhl's pipistrelle), 1354 nucleotides. RefSeq lists it as uncharacterized. The record is from RefSeq and is a predicted model, not a curated record. NCBI's taxonomy places the organism in Eukaryota, Metazoa, Chordata, Mammalia, Chiroptera, Vespertilionidae. The transcript has 2 exons.
AGCGUAAGCUCACUGUGAAGCACCACGGACGUUGGAGGCAGAGCGGGAUCGGCUGCCGCACCUGGCACGCUCCCGGUCAUGCCGUGUGGGCUGCUGGGAAUUGUAGUCGAGACCUGGCUCCAUUUUCUAGAUUGUGGCUUCCAAUUUAAAGCAGAGGGCCACCCUUUGCAGGCAAGGCUACAGGUAAUCCUCUUCCCACACGCCCUUCUCUGCUGGAGGCGGGCGAGACCGAUUAAAAAACUGCCGUAGGUCUCCUAUAAAGGGAGGGAGAGACGUGGGCCCUACCAUGCCAGCCAAAGAUCUAGUCAAGAGUCGAAUCUGGGAGGAACCGCAUGUGAUCUGUGAUCUAAUCCACCUGCGACGAUCCCGCCCUAUCAACCUCCUCGCCUCUAUCACCAGUGAAAGGUGCUUCUGGAGAAACCUGUGUUGAACAGUGACUGGGCAAGAGAAGUAAAAUGAAAUAGUGUGUUCUGUGACUGCCUUCAUGCGGAAUUUUGGAUAUUUUAAACAGCCUGGGAAUGAAGGAGAGGCUGAUACCCCUUACCUCAAUCUGAAAGUUGAUUUGGAAAUCAUCUGUAUUUCCCUUCCCUUCUCCCUCUCUUCAAUGCCCCCCCCCCCCAAAAAAAAUCAGUCAGAAUCCAAUGUAGUAAUCAACAGGUUUAUUUUCCUAGAACUGAAAUUGUCUACGGUUCUCAGAGCUAAACUACAGUCAGCAAUUUUUCAUCAGAGCCCUAGGGAGAGGGAGAGGGAGAGGGAGAGGGACACGAGAUGGAAGAGGCAGAGACCACGAGACAGAGGCUGGAGCGCACACUCCCUUUCCUGUCCUCUCGGAGGGGUACAGCCCGACCUGGUGAACCGCCGAGGGGCCGGGUGGGAGCGUGUGGACGGGAAAUGACACCAGAAGGGACGCCAAAGCCCCGGCCACAAAAGGAACGCCAUCGAGCCCUAGCGGAGGGGAGGGGGCCUCCCAGGGCCCUCAGAAACGGGGGCCACAGCGAGGAAAAGAGGAGCAGCGUGGGGGCCACACAAAGGGAUAGGGAUCUUUAAAUUUUUUUUAAAUUUUCUUUUAUUAAAAACAUUUCCUAAAAAAUGUGUCUUAUCCUUUCUGUCUGGGUGACCUGUGACUGCAGGCUGGCCUUGAGCACUGUGGGGAAGGGAAAGAGCGGCUAGGGACCUCCCCGGGACACCCCCUCUCUGGCCCACCGUCUAACGGAGGCGCUGCCCCCCGAUACUCCCAUGGAAGUGGGGUGACGUCAGCCCUCCAGAGCCCAGUCCAUGGACCAAACAACCGGAAGCCCAAACCCUUCUGAUGAGUAACUACAACUCAUAGAACUCCCGGGUUAUUAGCAAAGGG